Molecule: ribosomal RNA, 367 nt
Filed under: uncultured bacterium
Lineage: Bacteria
Description: bacterial SSU rRNA
Rfam family: Bacterial small subunit ribosomal RNA
Source: RNAcentral
UUAACCUUGACGAAGUAAGACUAACACCCAAUGACGUCUCUAGAAGACAUCUGAAAGAGAUUAAAGAUUUUAUCGGUGAUGGAUGGGGAUGCGUCUGAUUAGCUUGUUGGCGGGGUAACGGCCCACCAAGGCAACGAUCAGUAGGGGUUCUGAGAGGAAGGUCCCCCACAUUGGAACUGAGACACGGUCCAAACUCCUACGGGAGGCAGCAGUGAGGAAUAUUGGUCAAUGGACGGAAGUCUGAACCAGCCAAGUAGCGUGCAGGAUGACGGCCCUAUGGGUUGUAAACUGCUUUUAUGUGGGAAUAAAGUGAGGGACGUGAGGCUUUUUGCAUGUACCUUAUGAAUAAGGACCGGCUAAUUCCGUG